AUUGGUAUCUAUAGUAUAUUAGUUAGUAAUUGUAAAAUGUUGGUCGGCACCUGUAAAUGUGUUGGUUGGUACCUACAAUCGGUACCUAUGAUUUAUAGGUUGAUAGCUGCAAUUGGUACGUGCAAUUUGUAGGUUGAUACCGAGAGUUAGUAUCUACAAAUGUGUUGGUCGGUACCUAUAGUUGAUACCUGCCUAUUGUCUGCAUUUGUUAAAUAUAAGUGUUGUAGAACUUCUGCGUUUCUUACUUGACUUUUGGUGCUUUGAAAUGCUCACUCUACCGCUUGUAUUUUUAGUUAUGGCAUGAGACCCUUCUUCUAGUUCACAAGUACUAGUUGGUACCCAGAUACCUAUCUUGGUACCAGUAGCUCCGCAUGUACCAUUAACAGUACCACAGUUUUCCCCUAUUAGUAAUGGUGUUCCUAGGCUGAGUGUGACUUCUUCUGCCUUAUGAGUAUACACUCAACUGGCCUUUCCCAUGCCCGGUACCAACUUAUUUUCCCUCGCUGCUAGAGGUAAUUUUUUAUCUUACCAUACAUGUGAACUUUUAUGCAAGUUGUAUUUGAUCGUUGGCUAUAAAUUGGCUAAAUAUUGAAAAGGCAAUUUUCUGAAUGUUUGUAUUGCAGAGGAGACUCUGGCAAAAUUUUUAUUGAACAGGUAUCUUUGUUGACUCGCAGGUGUCUUUACAGGUGCCUUUG
RNAcentral lists this unclassified non-coding RNA (695 nucleotides) under Hevea brasiliensis (rubber tree). The record is from RNAcentral. Lineage: Eukaryota; Viridiplantae; Streptophyta; Magnoliopsida; Malpighiales; Euphorbiaceae.